GUGACAAAUGCAUCGGGGAUCACCUCUUCCCAUUCCGAACAGAGUCGUUAAGACCGAUAGCGCCAAUGGUACUGCCUCCAACCGAGGUGGAAGAGUAGGUAGUCGCCA
This 108-nucleotide ribosomal RNA is filed under the name Bacteroidia bacterium. The record is from RNAcentral. Lineage: Bacteria; Pseudomonadati; Bacteroidota; Bacteroidia.